Molecule: transfer RNA, 77 nt
Filed under: Deltaproteobacteria bacterium
Lineage: Bacteria; Pseudomonadati; Myxococcota; Myxococcia
Description: tRNA-Pro
Rfam family: tRNA
About the family: Transfer RNA (tRNA) molecules are approximately 80 nucleotides in length. Their secondary structure includes four short double-helical elements and three loops (D, anti-codon, and T loops). Further hydrogen bonds mediate the characteristic L-shaped molecular structure. tRNAs have two regions of fundamental functional importance: the anti-codon, which is responsible for specific mRNA codon recognition, and the 3' end, to which the tRNAs corresponding amino acid is attached (by aminoacyl-tRNA synthetases). tRNAs cope with the degeneracy of the genetic code in two manners: having more than one tRNA (with a specific anti-codon) for a particular amino acid; and 'wobble' base-pairing, i.e. permitting non-standard base-pairing at the 3rd anti-codon position.
Source: RNAcentral
CGGGAAGUAGCGCAGCCUGGGAGCGCACCUGUUUUGGGUACAGGGUGUCGCCGGUUCAAAUCCGGCCUUCCCGACCA